ACGCACGCUGGCGGCGUGCCUCAUACAUGCCAGUCGAACGCUUCUUUCCUCCCGAGUGCUUGCACUCAAUUGGAAAGAGGAGUGGCGGACGGGUGAGUAACACGUGGGUAACCUACCCAACAGAGGGGGAUAACACUUGGAAACAGGUGCUAAUACCGCAUAACAGUUUAUGCCGCAUGGCAUAAGAGUGAAAGGCGCUUUCGGGUGUCGCUGAUGGAUGGACCCGCGGUGCAUUAGCUAGUUGGUGAGGUAACGGCUCACCAAGGCCACGAUGCAUAGCCGACCUGAGAGGGUGAUCGGCCACACUGGGACUGAGACACGGCCCAGACUCCUACGGGAGGCAGCAGUAGGGAAUCUUCGGCAAUGGACGAAAGUCUGACCGAGCAACGCCGCGUGAGUGAAGAAGGUUUUCGGAUCGUAAAACUCUGUUGUUAGAGAAGAACAAGGACGUUAGUAACUGAACGUCCCCUGACGGUAUCUAACCAGAAAGCCACGGCUAACUACGUG
Molecule: ribosomal RNA, 507 nt
Filed under: uncultured bacterium
Lineage: Bacteria
Description: partial 16S ribosomal RNA
Rfam family: Bacterial small subunit ribosomal RNA
Source: RNAcentral